The sequence is a transfer RNA, 112 nucleotides long. It matches the Rfam family "tRNA". Rfam says of the family: Transfer RNA (tRNA) molecules are approximately 80 nucleotides in length. Their secondary structure includes four short double-helical elements and three loops (D, anti-codon, and T loops). Further hydrogen bonds mediate the characteristic L-shaped molecular structure. tRNAs have two regions of fundamental functional importance: the anti-codon, which is responsible for specific mRNA codon recognition, and the 3' end, to which the tRNAs corresponding amino acid is attached (by aminoacyl-tRNA synthetases). tRNAs cope with the degeneracy of the genetic code in two manners: having more than one tRNA (with a specific anti-codon) for a particular amino acid; and 'wobble' base-pairing, i.e. permitting non-standard base-pairing at the 3rd anti-codon position. The record is from Rfam.
GGCAAGAUGACCGAGUGGUUAAGGUGUAUGACUCAAGUUACAGCUUGUCCUAGAACAACUAGGGUUUCUUCAUAUGUCGCAAGACGCGUGGGUUCGAAUCCCACUCUUGUCA